RNAcentral lists this small nucleolar RNA (148 nucleotides) under Echeneis naucrates (live sharksucker). The record is from RNAcentral. Lineage: Eukaryota; Metazoa; Chordata; Actinopteri; Carangiformes; Echeneidae.
CUUCAGUGAUGAUACGAUGACGAGUCGGAAGAGAACUGUCUGGUUCUGGUGGAUACUGGUUCAAAUCCACGUUCUGUGGUUCUGUUCCAGUUCCCCAGAGCAGGGAGUCCUUUUCAGUUGAAGACAUAGAGGCAUUUGUCUGAGAAGG